This 253-nucleotide ribosomal RNA is filed under the name uncultured prokaryote. Its description in RNAcentral is "partial 16S ribosomal RNA". It matches the Rfam family "Bacterial small subunit ribosomal RNA", at positions 525 to 777 of the family's 1533-position model. The record is from RNAcentral.
ACGGAGGGUGCAAGCGUUAUCCGGAUUCACUGGGUUUAAAGGGUGCGUAGGUGGGCAGGUAAGUCAGUGGUGAAAUCCCCGAGCUUAACUUGGGAACUGCCGUUGAUACUAUCUGUCUUGAAUAUCGUGGAGGUUAGCGGAAUAUGCCAUGUAGCGGUGAAAUGCGUAGAUAUCGGAAGGAACACCGGUGUCGAAGGCGGCAUCCAGGACCGAUAUUGACGCUGAUGCGCGAAAGCCAGGGGAGCAAACGGGA